GGCCUACGGGGGGCAGCAGUGAGGAAUAUUGGUCAAUGGGCGAGAGCCUGAACCAGCCAAGUCGCGUGAAGGAUGAAGGAUCUAUGGUUUGUAAACUUCUUUUAUAUGGGAAUAAAGUGAGGAACGUGUUCCUUUUCGUAUGUACCAUAUGAAUAAGCAUCGGCUAACUCCGUGCCAGCAGCCGCGGUAAUACGGAGGAUGCGAGCGUUAUCCGGAUUUAUUGGGUUUAAAGGGUGCGCAGGCGGGAGAUCAAGUCAGCGGUAAAAUGUCGGGGCUCCACACCGGCCGGCCGUUGAAACU
Molecule: ribosomal RNA, 300 nt
Filed under: uncultured bacterium
Lineage: Bacteria
Description: bacterial SSU rRNA
Rfam family: Bacterial small subunit ribosomal RNA
Source: RNAcentral